This is a long non-coding RNA of Saccostrea cuccullata (small rock oyster), 254 nucleotides long. RefSeq lists it as uncharacterized. The transcript has 2 exons. The record is from RefSeq and is a predicted model, not a curated record. NCBI's taxonomy places the organism in Eukaryota, Metazoa, Mollusca, Bivalvia, Ostreida, Ostreidae.
UCUACGUAACGCAGCCAGGUGAAUCGAAUGGUCUUUUUAUGCUUGGUGACAUCUAUUUGAAGGUUUACUAAAUUCUGAGAAACGCUUGUCAGGACACAAGACUGAAAAAGACGUACUGAAAAACUGCAUGUAAACACAGCUAUCAUUAAAGUCAAUGGAUUACCUAGGAACAUCCAAGCAAUAUGAUAUCAGAGACUGGCAAUUUUUAUCACUCUAUGUGGCAGAAAAACCUAAAUAAAUAUUGAAAUGUUCAA